Molecule: transfer RNA, 71 nt
Filed under: Loxodonta africana (African savanna elephant)
Lineage: Eukaryota; Metazoa; Chordata; Mammalia; Proboscidea; Elephantidae
Rfam family: tRNA
About the family: Transfer RNA (tRNA) molecules are approximately 80 nucleotides in length. Their secondary structure includes four short double-helical elements and three loops (D, anti-codon, and T loops).
Source: Rfam by way of RNAcentral
GCAGUGGUGGCUCAGCGGUAGAAUUCUCCACUUGCAUGGGGGAGACCCGGGUUCGCUUCCCGGCCUAUGCA